AGACAGAGGGUGCAAACGUUGUUCGGAAUUACUGGGCGUAAAGCGCGUGUAGGCGGCUUAGCAAGUCGGAUGUGAAAGCCCACGGCUCAACCGUGGAAGUGCACUCGAAACUGCUUCGCUAGAGUCCUGGAGAGGAAGGUGGAAUGCUUGGUGUAGAGGUGAAAUUCGUAGAUAUCAAGCGGAACACCGGUGGCGAAGGCGGCCUUCUGGACAGUGACUGACGCUGAGACGCGAAAGCGUGGGGAGCAAACAGGAUUAGAAACCCCGGUAGUCC
This 274-nucleotide ribosomal RNA is filed under the name uncultured bacterium. RNAcentral describes it as "partial 16S ribosomal RNA". It matches the Rfam family "Bacterial small subunit ribosomal RNA", at positions 523 to 796 of the family's 1533-position model. The record is from RNAcentral.